GUCUGGGUGGCUCAGUCGGUUAAGCGUCUGACUUCAGGUCAGGUCAUGAUCUCACGGUUUGUGGGUUCGAGCCCCACAUCAGGCU
Molecule: transfer RNA, 85 nt
Filed under: Felis catus (domestic cat)
Lineage: Eukaryota; Metazoa; Chordata; Mammalia; Carnivora; Felidae
Also listed under: 4 other names
Rfam family: tRNA
About the family: Transfer RNA (tRNA) molecules are approximately 80 nucleotides in length. Their secondary structure includes four short double-helical elements and three loops (D, anti-codon, and T loops).
Source: Rfam by way of RNAcentral